AUUGAACGCUGGCGGCAUGCCUUACACAUGCAAGUCGAACGGCAGCGGACCUUCGGGUGCCGGCGAGUGGCGAACGGGUGAGUAAUAUAUCGGAACGUACCUUUCAGUGGGGGAUAACGUAGCGAAAGUUACGCUAAUACCGCAUAUUCUGUGAGCAGGAAAGCAGGGGGAUCGCAAGACCUUGCGCUGAUUGAGCGGCCGAUAUCAGAUUAGCUAGUUGGUGAGGUAAAGGCUCACCAAGGCGACGAUCUGUAGCGGGUCUGAGAGGAUGAUCCGCCACACUGGAACUGAGACACGGUCCAGACUCCUACGGGAGGCAGCAGUGGGGAAUUUUGGACAAUGGGCGCAAGCCUGAUCCAGCCAUGCCGCGUGAGUGAAGAAGGCCUUCGGGUUGUAAAGCUCUUUCGGCCGGGAAGAAAUCGCACAGGUUAAUACCCUGUGUGGAUGACGGUACCGGAAUAAGAAGCACCGGCUAACUACGUG
Molecule: ribosomal RNA, 483 nt
Filed under: uncultured bacterium
Lineage: Bacteria
Description: bacterial SSU rRNA
Rfam family: Bacterial small subunit ribosomal RNA
Source: RNAcentral